GGACAUUACUGAUUUGCUUAAUUGCACCACAUGUGUUUUUUAUUGAACAAAUUUCUUUGGUGGCGGGAGCAAUCCUACCGCCAGAGGUUAUAACUAAACCAAACUUUUUAUUUACAGUCAAACUUGAUUUAUUAUUACAAUGAGUCAAAACUUUCAACAUGACGGAUCUCUUGGUUCUCGCACUCUGAUGAAGAACGCAGCGAAAUGCGAUACGUCAAUAUGAAUUGCAGAUCGAAUAUCGUGCAAUCAUCGAAUCUUUGAACGCACAUUGCGCCCUUUGGUAUUCCAAAGGGCGAUGCCUGUUUGAGCGUCAUUUCUCCCUCAAACCCCCGGGUUUGGUGUUGAGCAAUGACUGCUAGGUUUGUUUGAAAGAAUUUAACGUGGAAACUUAUUUUAAGCGAGCUUAGGUUUAUCCAAGAAACGCUUAUUUUGCUAGUGGCCACCACAAUUUAUUUCAUAACUUUGACCUCAAAUCACGGUAGGACUACCCGCUGAA
Molecule: ribosomal RNA, 496 nt
Filed under: Candida tropicalis
Lineage: Eukaryota; Fungi; Ascomycota; Pichiomycetes; Serinales; Debaryomycetaceae
Description: eukaryotic LSU rRNA
Rfam family: 5.8S ribosomal RNA (bases 149-313)
Source: RNAcentral